This is a small nuclear RNA of Oryctolagus cuniculus (rabbit), 240 nucleotides long. Its record names the gene U2. It matches the Rfam family "U2 spliceosomal RNA". Rfam says of the family: U2 is a small nuclear RNA (snRNA) component of the spliceosome (involved in pre-mRNA splicing). Complementary binding between U2 snRNA (in an area lying towards the 5' end but 3' to hairpin I) and the branchpoint sequence (BPS) of the intron results the bulging out of an unpaired adenosine, on the BPS, which initiates a nucleophilic attack at the intronic 5' splice site, thus starting the first of two transesterification reactions that mediate splicing. The record is from Ensembl. Lineage: Eukaryota; Metazoa; Chordata; Mammalia; Lagomorpha; Leporidae.
AUCGCUUCUCGGCCUUUUGGCUAAGAUCAAGUGUAGAAUUGUGUCUACAAAGCACAUUGAAUCUGUUUAAAAACUAAUUAAAAGUUAAAGUUAAAAUAGGAAAAUAAAAGUAAGUCCAUAGGGGCAGGCAUUUGGUGACCCUGUUUUGAGUGCCUGUGUCCCAUAUCAAAGUGCCUGUUCCCAAUUUCAGCUUCCUGCUACUGCACUCCCUGGGAGGCAGCAGGUGAUGGCUGAAGUACU